AUGCUAUAGUUUAUUUUUUCAAGAAGAGUAGUUUUUUUCAAUCACAGUAAAAGAACCCGUGUACCAUAAGCGAGUACACGACAUUUAUAUUAUUAUUAUUAUUUGUCGCUUAAGCGAAUAAUUUCAUAUACAUCUUUACAUCUCAACUCUAAAAAUAAAGCUGACAAUGAAAGUGAGAGAGAGUGUUAAAACAGCUUCUGCAACUGAUGAAAUUUACAAGCCGGAAUUGUUUGCGUACCAAAAAAUGCAAUCGUUUCUUCUUUCCGUGUAUACGCCAAGGAGUACCAAAACAUCUGAGAAGGAUAUUGAUGAGGAAACACCAUCUAGCCACACUCAUCAAUUCCUAGCUCAUCUCAGCACAUCUCAGGAUGAGGAAUUCUCAUCAGGGAAUGGUGCUGUUCAAGGUGGGCCGCCAAAAAGAGAAAAGCAGAGAAAGCAGCUAACAUCGAAAAACGGAUGGACCAGGCUUUUCACUUUUUGAAGGAAGUUGCUGCAAA
This is a long non-coding RNA of Argiope bruennichi, 497 nucleotides long. RefSeq lists it as uncharacterized. The record is from RefSeq and is a predicted model, not a curated record. The transcript is spliced from 3 exons. Lineage: Eukaryota; Metazoa; Arthropoda; Arachnida; Araneae; Araneidae.